RNAcentral lists this ribosomal RNA (107 nucleotides) under Meriones unguiculatus (Mongolian gerbil). Lineage: Eukaryota; Metazoa; Chordata; Mammalia; Rodentia; Muridae. The record is from RNAcentral.
GCUGGCCAUCCCAUCCUGAGUGUACCAGAUCCUGUCUGAUCUCAGAAGCUAAGCAGGCUUGGGCUUGGUUAGUACUUGGAUGGGAGACUUGCCAGCCUGAACCGGCU